GAUCCUGGCUCAGGAUGAACGCUAGCGGCAGGCUUAACACAUGCAGGUCGGGGGGCAGCAUAAUGGAUAGCAAUAUCUAUGGUGGCGACCGGCGCACGGGUGCGUAACGCGUAUGCAACCUACCUUUAACAGGGGGAUAACACUGAGAAAUUGGUACUAAUACCCCAUAAUAUCAUAGAAGGCAUCUUUUAUGGUUGAAAAUUUCCGAUGGUUAGAGAUGGGCAUGCGUUGUAUUAG
This 237-nucleotide ribosomal RNA is filed under the name uncultured bacterium. RNAcentral describes it as "partial 16S ribosomal RNA". It matches the Rfam family "Bacterial small subunit ribosomal RNA", at positions 15 to 244 of the family's 1533-position model. The record is from RNAcentral.